RNAcentral lists this long non-coding RNA (240 nucleotides) under Hordeum vulgare. RNAcentral's name for it is "long non-coding RNA (HVUL_LNC004612)". The record is from RNAcentral. Lineage: Eukaryota; Viridiplantae; Streptophyta; Magnoliopsida; Poales; Poaceae.
GAAGGAAAAAAUAAGAAGGAGAAGAAGAAAAAGAAGAAGAAGAAGAAGAAGAAGAAGAAGAAGAAGAAGAAGAAGAAGAAGACGAGGAGGAGGAGGAUGAGAAGAAAAAAUAAGAAGGAGAAGAAGAAAAGAAGAAGAGAAGAAGAAGAGAAGAAGAAAAAAAUAAGAAGGAGAAGAAGAGAAAAAACAAGAAUAAGUAGAAGAAGAGGAUAAAGAAAAAUAUAAAUAGAAAUAAGAGGA